Molecule: microRNA precursor, 103 nt
Filed under: Marmota monax (woodchuck)
Lineage: Eukaryota; Metazoa; Chordata; Mammalia; Rodentia; Sciuridae
Source: RNAcentral
ACAUGAAUCACCCAGGAUUUUGCUAAAAUUUAGAUUCUCCUUCAGUAGAGCUAAAUGGGACUUCAGAUUCUGAUCUUUUAACAAGCUCUUUGGGCAUGCUGGU